UCCUACGGGAGGCAGCAGUGGGGAAUAUUGGACAAUGGGGCAACCCUGAUCCAGCCAUGCCGCGUGUGUGAAGAAGGCCCUCGGGUUGUAAAGCACUUUCAGCGAGGAAGAACGCCUAGCGGUUAAUACCCGCUAGGAAAGACAUCACUCGCAGAAGAAGCACCGGCUAACUCCGUGCCAGCAGCCGCGGUAAUACGGAGGGUGCAAGCGUUAAUCGGAAUUACUGGGCGUAAAGCGCGCGUAGGUGGCUUGAUAAGCCGGUUGUGAAAGCCCCGGGCUCAACCUGGGAACGGCAUCCGGAACUGUCAAGCUAGAGUGCAGGAGAGGAAGGUAGAAUUCCCGGUGUAGCGGUGAAAUGCGUAGAGAUCGGGAGGAAUACCAGUGGCGAAGGCGGCCUUCUGGACUGACACUGACACUGAGGUGCGAAAGCGUGGGUAGCAAACAGGAUUAGAUACCCUGGUAGUCCACGCCGUAAACGAUGUCGACCAGCCGUUGGGUGCCUAGCGCACUUUGUGGCGAAGUUAACGCGAUAAGUCGACCGCCUGGGGAGUACGGCCGCAAGGUUAAAACUCAAAUGAAUUGACGG
This 586-nucleotide ribosomal RNA is filed under the name uncultured bacterium. RNAcentral describes it as "bacterial SSU rRNA". It matches the Rfam family "Bacterial small subunit ribosomal RNA", at positions 337 to 916 of the family's 1533-position model. The record is from RNAcentral.